RNAcentral lists this long non-coding RNA (401 nucleotides) under Arabidopsis thaliana (thale cress). RNAcentral's name for it is "long non-coding RNA (ATHA_LNC000149)". The record is from RNAcentral. Lineage: Eukaryota; Viridiplantae; Streptophyta; Magnoliopsida; Brassicales; Brassicaceae.
CUCAUAGUGAAUUUAUUUACCAAAAGAAGGAGAAGUAUGUGACAGAUCCCAAAUACAACAAACAAGAGCUUAAGAGAAUCCUAUCAUCUUCCACCUCCAGCACUUCUGUUCCAUGACAAGUACGAUGGAUCUCCCAGUUGCCUGAAACACAUAGAUAAAUCGUAACAUAAAUUUUUGUCAUUGCUAUAUGGACUCUUAAAGUCUCAAAAACCAGUGCAUCUUUCUAACGAAAUGUGGCAUUGUAGAGAAUGUUAUAAUAUACCUUGGUUUUGCUAGAUACAAGACGGAGAAGGAAACAGCCAAGAACAAGCAUAUGCUACCAACAGUCAAAUACGCAAUCCCAAGGAAAUCAUUCCUUCCACCGAGCCAGCUAGUGGUAGAUAGCACAAGCUUCUUUUUCC